This 417-nucleotide ribosomal RNA is filed under the name Triticum aestivum (bread wheat). Its description in RNAcentral is "partial small subunit ribosomal RNA". The record is from RNAcentral. Lineage: Eukaryota; Viridiplantae; Streptophyta; Magnoliopsida; Poales; Poaceae.
CUUGCUCGAGGAACUACAGUCUUAGUGGAAGGUGGCUGUGAAAAAGUACUUAAACAGACUUUCAAGAUUCUUCCAGAUGAGCAGCUGAAAAUAUCUCAUGUGUGCUGUCUAUCAACAUCUGCUGGUCCUCUGAUGGGAGUUAUGUGCAUUUCUACAGCUAAAAUGGCAUUCUGCAGUAACAAUCCUCUUUCUUACAAAGUUGAAAAUGACACUAAAUGGAGUUACUACACGGUGAUCAUUCCUCUUCGUCGGCUAAGAACAGCUAAGUCUUCAGUGAGCACAUUAAAUUCUGAAAAGUAUAUUCAGAUUGUGUCGGUUGAAGGGCAUGAGCUAUGGUUUAUGGGUUUUCUGAAGUACGACAAAGCAAUAUCCAGCCUGCAAGAAGCCCUUGUCAGUUCUCGUUAGUUGCAACCGUAG